RNAcentral lists this ribosomal RNA (301 nucleotides) under uncultured bacterium. RNAcentral's name for it is "partial 16S ribosomal RNA". It matches the Rfam family "Bacterial small subunit ribosomal RNA", at positions 509 to 807 of the family's 1533-position model. The record is from RNAcentral.
CAGUAGCCACGGUAAUACGGAGGGUGCAAGCGUUAAUCGGAAUUACUGGGCGUAAAGCGUGCGUAGGCGGUUCGUUAAGUCUGUUGUGAAAGCCCCGGGCUCAACCUGGGAAUGGCAAUGGAUACUGGCGAGCUAGAGUGUGUCAGAGGAUGGUGGAAUUCCCGGUGUAGCGGUGAAAUGCGUAGAGAUCGGGAGGAACAUCAGUGGCGAAGGCGGCCAUCUGGGACAACACUGACGCUGAGGCACGAAAGCGUGGGGAGCAAACAGGAUUAGAUACCCCCGUAGUCCCUGUCUCUUAUAC